Medicago truncatula (barrel medic) is the source of this 194-nucleotide microRNA precursor. It matches the Rfam family "MIR159 microRNA precursor family". The record is from Rfam. NCBI's taxonomy places the organism in Eukaryota, Viridiplantae, Streptophyta, Magnoliopsida, Fabales, Fabaceae.
UCAGUUUAGAUGGAGUUCCCUAAAAUCCAAUUCUAAAAGGAGAUGAUGGUAGUCCUCUGCUGCUAGUUCAUGAAUACCUCUGACUUUGUAACAAUUUUCUUAAAGUUCAAAGGUCAAAGGUUUGCAUGAAUUGGGAGAUGAGAAUACCUUGAUUUUUUCGUAUUGGAUUGAAGGGAGCUCCAUAUGGAUAGAAC